RNAcentral lists this ribosomal RNA (1035 nucleotides) under Theileria sp. RMP-2013. RNAcentral's name for it is "partial 18S ribosomal RNA". It matches the Rfam family "Eukaryotic small subunit ribosomal RNA", at positions 1 to 1102 of the family's 1831-position model. Lineage: Eukaryota; Apicomplexa; Aconoidasida; Piroplasmida; Theileriidae. The record is from RNAcentral.
AACCUGGUUGAUCCUGCCAGUAGUCAUAUGCUUGUCUUAAAGAUUAAGCCAUGCAUGUCUAAGUAUAAGCUUUUAUAUGGUGAAACUGCGAAUGGCUCAUUAUAACAGUUAUAGUUUAUUUGAUGUUCGUUUUUACAUGGAUAACCGUGCUAAUUGUAGGGCUAAUACAUGUUCGAGACCUUCGGGUGGCGUUUAUUAGACCUAAAACCAAACCUUUUUUUCCACCGGUGAUUCAUAAUAAAAUUGGCAAGCGAAUUUUUUUUGUAUGGAUUAUUUCAUUUUCUUAACUAACCUCUUUGGAAGGGAGGGUAUUGGACUGCCCGGGCCGCGACGGGAAACGGGGAAUUAAGGUUCGAUUCCAGAAAGGGAAGCUGAAAAAAGAAUACCCCAUCUUAUGAAAGGAGGGAGGGCGGCAAUUACCCAACCCUGACCCGAGGAGGGAAGGAAGAGAAAAAAAAAUAACGGGCUUAAUGGAUUGUCAUUUGAAUGGAGGGAAUUUAAACCCCUUCCCUAAUAAAAAUUGGAGGGGAAGGCUGGUGGCCACCGCCGCGGUAAUUCCAGCUCCAAUAGCGUAUAUUAAAAUUGUUGCAGUUAAAAAGCUCGUAGUUGAAUUUCUGCUGCAUUUCAUUUCUCUUUCUGAGUUUGUUUUUGCGGCUUAUUUCGGUUUGAUUUUUUCUUUCCGGAGGAUUACUUUGAGAAAAUUAGAGUGCUCAAAGCAGGCUUUUGCCUUGAAUAGUUUAGCAUGGAAUAAUAAAGUAGGACUUUGGUUCUAUUUUGUUGGUUUUAGGUACCAAAGUAAUGGUUAAUAGGAACAGUUGGGGGCAUUCGUAUUUAACUGUCAGAGGUGAAAUUCUUAGAUUUGUUAAAGACGAACUACUGCGAAAGCAUUUGCCAAGGAUGUUUUCAUUAAUCAAGAACGAAAGUUAGGGGAUCGAAGACGAUCAGAUACCGUCGUAGUCCUAACCCUUUUCUAUGCCGACUAGAGAUUGGAGGUCGUCAGUUUUUACGACUCCUCAGCACCUGAGAGAAAUCAAA